ACAAGCGGUGGAGCAUGUGUUUAAUUCGAUGAUACGCGAAGAACCUUACCGGGGUUUGACAUGCAGGUGAUCGCCGUUGAAAGACGGUUUCCUCUUCGGAGGCACCUGCACAGGUGCUGCAUGGCUGUCGUCAGCUCGUGUCGCGAGAUGUUGGGUUAAGUCCCGCAACGAGCGCAACCCUCGUCCUUAGUUGCUAACGGUUCGGCCGAGCACUCUAGGGAGACUGCCUUCGCAAGGAGGAGGAAGGUGAGGACGACGUCAAGUCAUCAUGGCCCUUACGGCCAGGGCUACACACGUGCUACAAUGGGGCGUACAGAGAGCUGCGAUACCGCGAGGUGGAGCCAAUCUCUUAAAGCGUCUCUCAGUUCGGAUUGUUCUCUGCAACUCGAGAACAUGAAGCUGGAAUCACUAGUAAUCGCAGAUCAGCUAUGCUGCGGUGAAUACGUUCCCGGGUCUU
Molecule: ribosomal RNA, 457 nt
Filed under: uncultured Sulfuricurvum sp.
Lineage: Bacteria; Pseudomonadati; Campylobacterota; Epsilonproteobacteria; Campylobacterales; Sulfurimonadaceae
Description: bacterial SSU rRNA
Rfam family: Bacterial small subunit ribosomal RNA
Source: RNAcentral